GGAAGGAUCAUUAACACGUAUCCACGUAUCAACCAACCGCGAACUUGUUUUCAACUCUCCCUAAGGGGCACAUGAAUUGGAUUGAAUAGGGGAUUGAGUGGGGCUUUCUUUUUUCGAAAAGGAGGUUGACUCUGUUCAAUUAACUGAGUGGAUAUUUAUUUAUUGCUCGACAAUUGUAGUGCUCUGAAGGCUUCAUUACUAGGGUCUCCAUUCAAGAUUCUGGUAGUGGAAAAACAAAUAUAUAACUAUAUUAACCCCCUUUUUGCUAGUUGACUUUAUUAUGUUGUUAUUAUUCCGAUUAAUUUCUGGGGUAAUUUCACACGUUUGAUUUAUUUAAACGACAAAAACAACUCUUAGCAAUGGAUAUCUUGGUUCUCGCAACGAUGAAGAACGCAGCGAAAUGCGAUACGUAAUGCGAAUUGCAGAAUUCAGUGAAUCAUCAAAUCUUUGAACGCAAAUUGCGCUCUUGGGUAGCCCUAGGAGCACGCCUCUCUCAGUAUCGGUUCAACAACCUCUCAGCAGCGUCUGUUUGAUUGAAUUUAUUCCUUCUUAUGGUCGUGUCGGCUGGAAAAUGAGAGUCUGUGUGCUUGCACAUAGUCUCUUUAAAUUUAUUGAGUGAGCAUUAUAAACUGAUCAGCUUGUCUUUCGAGGCAAUAGCAGUCUUCCGACUGUUGCUUAUUAGUAACGUGAAUACUGGUCUCCGGAUCUUUUCUACGUCUAUCUUGUAAGUGACAAAUUAAAGUUGGUUGAUUCGCGAACGUUUGGUUUAUUUUGUUCAUGUAUCGUGUGCAAACACAAUAGAAUAUUUGAGUGGAAUUGAUUCCGACUUUAUUGUCCUUUCUUUUUUUCUUGAGUAUUCUGAAUUUUGAUCUGAGAUGAAGCGAGACAACCCCCUGAAUUUAAGCAUAUUAAUAAGGGGAGGAAAAGAAACUAACAAGGAUUCCCCCAGUAACGGCGAGUGAAGCGGGAAGAGCUCAAUUUGAAAAUCGAUUACCUAAGCGGGUCAUCGAAUUGUAGCCUAGAGACGUACUAUCAGCUGAAACCUGGGUAUAAGUUCUUUGGAAUGAGGCAUCAUAGAGGGUGAGAAUCCCGUAUAUGACCCAAAGCUUUCAGCGUACGAUGUAUGUUCUUCGAGUCGAGUUGUUUGGGAUUGCAGCUCUAAAUGGGUCGUAAGUUUGAUCUAAAGCUAAAUAAUGGCGAGAGACCGAUAGCGAACAAGUACCGUGAGGGAAAGAUGAAAAGAACUUUGAAAAGAGAGUUAAAAGUACUUGAAAUUGCUAAGAGGGAAGCGCUGACAACCAGUGAUAUACGAUGUUCAUCGCUAUCAGCUCCUGGUGGUGUCGUUUGCAGUUGGUUAAACUCUGCUUGCGGCUUCGAAAGGGAAGUUGGUGGUUUAGAAUAUUGUGUCAGUCAAGAUCCAUUUGAAUUGUGGGAGAAGGUAGGAGGAAAGGUAGGAGACUCCGGUCUCUGUUAUAGUCCUCUUACUCUACCUCGGCUUAGAUGGAGGAAGGAAUAGUGCGCCGUUUUCGGCUUAGUCCCAUGCUCCUAUUGUCCCAGCUGUCUUGAUAGCAAUGCUAUCCUGAUGGUAAACGGCUUUACUGGGUAUGGUGACUCUUUGUGCUAUCACGAUCUUGUACGAAAUGGUUGUCAUCGACCCGUCUUGAAACACGGACCAAGGAGUCUAACAUCUAUGCGAGUAUUUGAGUGAAAAACUCUGAUGCGCAAUGAAAGUAAAGGUAGCUUCGGCUGCUGAGGUAGGAAUCCGGUCAAACGGAGGCACUAUCGACCGAUCAUCACUUGUGAAAGAUUUGAGUAAGAGCAUAUCUGUUGGGACCCGAAAGAUGGUGAUCUAUGCCUGAACAGGGUGAAGCCAGGGGAAACUCUGGUGGAGGCUCGUAGCGAUACUGACGUGCAAAUCGUUCGUCUGAUUUGGGUAUAGGGGCGAAAGACUAAUCGAACCAUCUAGUAGCUGGUUCCCUC
This 1980-nucleotide unclassified non-coding RNA is filed under the name uncultured fungus. RNAcentral describes it as "sequence contains 18S rRNA gene, ITS1, 5.8S rRNA gene, ITS2, 28S rRNA gene". The stretch from base 867 to 1980 matches the Rfam family "Eukaryotic large subunit ribosomal RNA", at positions 1 to 961 of the family's 3401-position model. The record is from RNAcentral. Lineage: Eukaryota; Fungi.